RNAcentral lists this ribosomal RNA (378 nucleotides) under Pinnularia sp. NE-L28. RNAcentral's name for it is "SSU rRNA". It matches the Rfam family "Eukaryotic small subunit ribosomal RNA", at positions 582 to 968 of the family's 1831-position model. Lineage: Eukaryota; Bacillariophyta; Bacillariophyceae; Sellaphorales; Pinnulariaceae. The record is from RNAcentral.
AUUCCAGCUCCAAUAGCGUAUAUUAAAGUUGUUGCAGUUAAAAAGCUCGUAGUUGGAUUUGUGAUGUUGCCUGCAGUCCAAUUAGCUUUGGUGCUAGCGGGUGGUGUCAUCUUUGGGUGGAACCUGUAGGGCAUUAGCUUGUUUUGCAGGGGAUGCUCAUCGUUUACUGUGAAAAAAUUAGAGUGUUCAAAGCAGGCUUACGCCGAUGAAUAUACUAGCAUGGAAUAAUGAAAUAGGACUUUGGUACUAUUUUGUUGGUUUGCGCGCCAAAGUAAUGAUUAAUAGGGACAGUUGGGGGUAUUCGUAUUCCAUAGUCAGAGGUGAAAUUCUUGGAUUUUUGGAAGACGAACUACUGCGAAAGCAUUUACCAAGGAUGUU